UCCUACGGGGGGCAGCAGUGGGGAAUAUUGCACAAUGGGGGGAACCCUGAUGCAGCAAUGCCGCGUGGGUGAAGAAGCACUCCGGUGCGUAAAGCCCUGUCAGCAGGGAAGAAAAUGACAGUACCUGGACAAGAAGCCCCGGCUAACUACGUGCCAGCAGCCGCGGUAAUACGUAGGGGGCAAGCGUUAUCCGGAUUUACUGGGUGUAAAGGGAGCGUAGACGGCGAUGCAAGUCUGAAGUGAAAGGCGGGGGCCCAACCCCCGGACUGCUUUGGAAACUGUAUGGCUGGAGUGCAGGAGGGGUA
Molecule: ribosomal RNA, 305 nt
Filed under: uncultured bacterium
Lineage: Bacteria
Description: partial 16S ribosomal RNA
Rfam family: Bacterial small subunit ribosomal RNA
Source: RNAcentral